Molecule: ribosomal RNA, 253 nt
Filed under: uncultured bacterium
Lineage: Bacteria
Description: partial 16S ribosomal RNA
Rfam family: Bacterial small subunit ribosomal RNA
Source: RNAcentral
UACGAAGGGGGCUAGCGUUGUUCGGAAUUACUGGGCGUAAAGCGCACGUAGGCGGGUCGUUAAGUCAGGGGUGAAAUCCCGGAGCUCAACUCCGGAAUUGCCUUUGAUACUGGCGAUCUUGAGAUCGGAAGAGGUGAGUGGAAUUCCCAGUGUGGAGGUGAAAUUCGUAGAUAUUGGGAAGAACACCAGUGGCGAAGGCGGCUCUCUGGGACGGUACUGACGCUGAGACGCGAAAGCGUGGGGAGCGAACAGG